GUGACAGCCCCGUACACAAAAAUGCACAUGCUGUGAGCUCGAUGAGUAGGGCGGGACACGUGGUAUCCUGUCUGAAUAUGGGGGGACCAUCCUCCAAGGCUAAAUACUCCUGACUGACCGAUAGUGAACCAGUACCGUGAGGGAAAGGCGAAAAGAACCCCGGCGAGGGGAGUGAAAAAGAACCUGAAACCGUGUACGUACAAGCAGUGGGAGCACGCUUAGGCGUGUGACUGCGUACCUUUUGUAUAAUGGGUCAGCGACUUAUAUUCUGUAGCAAGGUUAACCGAAUAGGGGAGCCGAAGGGAAACCGAGUCUUAACUGGGCGUUAAGUUGCAGGGUAUAGACCCGAAACCCGGUGAUCUAGCCAUGGGCAGGUUGAAGGUUGGGUAACACUAACUGGAGGACCGAACCGACUAAUGUUGAAAAAUUAGCGGAUGACUUGUGGCUGGGGGUGAAAGGCCAAUCAAACCGGGAGAUAGCUGGUUCUCCCCGAAAGCUAUUUAGGUAGCGCCUCGUGAAUUCAUCUCCGGGGGUAGAGCACUGUUUCGGCAAGGGGGUCAUCCCGACUUACCAACCCGAUGCAAACUGCGAAUACCGGAGAAUGUUAUCACGGGAGACACACGGCGGGUGCUAACGUCCGUCGUGAAGAGGGAAACAACCCAGACCGCCAGCUAAGGUCCCAAAGUCAUGGUUAAGUGGGAAACGAUGUGGGAAGGCCCAGACAGCCAGGAUGUUGGCUUAGAAGCAGCCAUCAUUUAAAGAAAGCGUAAUAGCUCACUGGUCGAGUCGGCCUGCGCGGAAGAUGUAACGGGGCUAAACCAUGCAC
RNAcentral lists this ribosomal RNA (826 nucleotides) under Escherichia coli. Its description in RNAcentral is "partial 23S ribosomal RNA". It matches the Rfam family "Bacterial large subunit ribosomal RNA", at positions 364 to 1194 of the family's 2925-position model. The record is from RNAcentral. Lineage: Bacteria; Pseudomonadati; Pseudomonadota; Gammaproteobacteria; Enterobacterales; Enterobacteriaceae.